UACAGAGGUGGCAAGCGUUGUUCGGAAUUACUGGGCGUAAAGGGCGAGUAGGCGGCCUUCUAAGUCAGACGUGAAAUCCCCCGGCUUAACCUGGGAACUGCGUCUGAUACUGGGAGGCUAGAGUAUGGGAGAGGGAUGUAGAAUUCCAGGUGUAGCGGUGAAAUGCGUAGAUAUCUGGAGGAAUACCGGUGGCGAAGGCGGCAUCCUGGACCAUUACUGACGCUGAAUCGCGAAAGCUAGGGGAGCAAAAGGG
Molecule: ribosomal RNA, 253 nt
Filed under: uncultured bacterium
Lineage: Bacteria
Description: partial 16S ribosomal RNA
Rfam family: Bacterial small subunit ribosomal RNA
Source: RNAcentral